This 406-nucleotide ribosomal RNA is filed under the name uncultured bacterium. RNAcentral describes it as "partial 16S ribosomal RNA". It matches the Rfam family "Bacterial small subunit ribosomal RNA", at positions 30 to 526 of the family's 1533-position model. The record is from RNAcentral.
AUUGAACGCUGGCGGCAGGCCUAACACAUGCAAGUCGAGCGAGCGGCGGACGGGUGAGUAAUGUCUGGGAAACUGCCUGAUGGAGGGGGAUAACUACUGGAAACGGUAGCUAAUACCGCAUACCAUCAGAUGUGCCCCGAUGGGAUUAGCGAGUAGGUGGGGUAACGGCUCACCUAGGCGACGAUACCUAGCUGGUCUGAUAGGAUGAACAGCCAAAAUGGAGCAUGGACACGGUCCAGACUCCUACGGGAGGAAGCAGUGGGGAAUAUUGCACAAUGUGCGCACGACUGCUGCAGCCAUGCAGCGUGUGUGAAGAAGGCCUUCGGGUUGUAAAGCACUGUCAGCGGGGAGGCGUUACCCGCAGAAAAAGCACCGGCUAACUCCGUGCCAGCAGCCGCGGUAAUUC